GUCCACACCUUAAACGAUGAAUACUUGGUGUCGGGUCGAAAGGCUCGGUGCCAAAGCUAACGCAUUAAGUAUUCCACCUGGGGAGUACGAUCGCAAGGUUGAAACUCAAAGGAAUUGACGGGGCCCGCACAAGCAGUGGAGCAUGUGGUUCAAUUCGAUGCAACGCGAAGAACCUUACCUGGGUUUGAAAGGCAAGAUUCUAGUCCCUGAAAGGGGAUUACCCGCAAGGGGUCUUGUACAGGUGCUGCAUGGCUGUCGU
RNAcentral lists this ribosomal RNA (259 nucleotides) under uncultured bacterium. Its description in RNAcentral is "partial 16S ribosomal RNA". It matches the Rfam family "Bacterial small subunit ribosomal RNA", at positions 793 to 1055 of the family's 1533-position model. The record is from RNAcentral.